Molecule: non-coding RNA, 162 nt
Filed under: uncultured Prevotella sp.
Lineage: Bacteria; Pseudomonadati; Bacteroidota; Bacteroidia; Bacteroidales; Prevotellaceae
Source: RNAcentral
UGAAGGUUCGCUUGGCGCGAUUAGCAAAGGGAACGGGGUGCGAAUCCCCGACUGUCUCGCAGCUGUGAGUUCCAUUAUUGCCUCACACAAGAUGCCACUGCCUGAUGAUCAGGCGGGAAGGCGUGUGAGAGCGGAACAAAGUCAGAAGACCUGCCUUCUCAA